UAAAAUUCAAAUCAAAUUGAUUCAAUUAUGAAUUUCCAGUUGGUAUAAAGCAUAUCGUCUAAGGACCUAUUCAAACUUUCUCUUCCCUCUCUCUCAAUUAAACCAUGGAAUCCAUAAACUCAUAAGAAAUUUCAAUCAUAAACCCAGGGAGCAAGAUUUUGAUCAUGAAGCUCUCAGAUAGGAAUUUCUUUCUAUAGAGAUUACAAAUUGUUGCAGCCCUAGAAGGAAACGGACUUGAAGACCACAUCUAUGGAGAAAAACUAAUACCUAGCAAGAUCUUGAAGAUUACUCAAGAUAGUGUUACUGUUGAGAAAGAAAAUCCAGCUUACAAUCAAUGGAGGAGACAAGAUCAUUUGAUCUUCUCAUGAUUAUUGGGCUCCAUUAAUGAAGAAAUUCUUGGAGAUCUUAUUCACUGUACAAUCUCCAGUGAGGUCUGGAAAAAUUUGCAAGAGAUGUUUGUAGCGAAGAAUCUAAAGAGUACUUACGGAAAUUGAAGAAUCUUGUUGAUUGAUUGAAUGUUUCAGGAAAUGGUUUAUUGGAGCAACCAAUUGGUUUCAUGGAAGAUCCAAGUGCCAAAUAUGUUUUUAGAAGCUUAUUUUUGUCUCAAAGGAAGUACACUAUCGAUCUUCUUCAUAGAUGUUUGAAGCUAAUGGCAUUUCAACCCCUACUGUUAGUUCUCUUACAACAUCAGCUACUCAAGGUGAUACAUUUCAAGAUUUCUUCCUCUAUAGAGGCAUUGUAGAAGCUCGUCAAUACAUUACUUUGACAAGACCUGGUUUUUUUUUUUUUGGCAAUAUGUCAAAAGAAUUCUAAGAUAUCUCAAAGGAACUCUGACCCUAGAUUAUACUGGUAAAGACCUACUUCUCUUAAUGUAGUUGGUUUUACAGAUGCUGAUUGAGCAUCAGAUCCAGAUGACAGAAAACCGACUUCUGGUAUUUGCAUUUUGAUUGAAAAUAAUCCAGUUGUAUGGGGGGUUCCAAAAAAUAGUCCAUUAUUUCAAGAUCAGCACAUAAGUUGAA
Non-coding RNA from Benincasa hispida (wax gourd), 1019 nucleotides. NCBI's taxonomy places the organism in Eukaryota, Viridiplantae, Streptophyta, Magnoliopsida, Cucurbitales, Cucurbitaceae. The record is from RefSeq and is a predicted model, not a curated record.